Capra hircus (goat) is the source of this 976-nucleotide long non-coding RNA. NCBI's taxonomy places the organism in Eukaryota, Metazoa, Chordata, Mammalia, Artiodactyla, Bovidae. The record is from Ensembl.
AAUGUUGCUUAAAUAUCCUUCCUAGUUUCAGCUGGCUGGACCAUUAUGUGGGAAACAGUGCCUUGUGAAGCCAGCAGGUGUGGUAGUUGCCAUUAGAGGAAUAUUCAGAAGGUGGCACUACAGCUCAGCUCUGCGGUGUCAAGUUUGCCCACAGAUGAGGGUCUGCUUUCUGCAAGUGAUCUCUGCUGGUCAUUCCUAGAACUCUGCCAUGCUGCGACCUUCAGGAGGGCACACAGGUGGGUCAUCCUCCCUAUGAAAGUGCAUCAGCCUUGGCAGUCUCUGUGUCCCUAUCUCAGACUCCAUUUUCAUUUGCCGUGUAAAUUACAGGAUAACACAGAACAAGAUCAACCCUGGAAGAAAAACCACUGAAUUUGGAAAGACAUCACCCACUGAAUUUGGACAGAACACCUCUGCUCAAUUAAGAGAAACAUUUGUACAGUCCAGGUCUUUAUUUUUACACCCAUCAUGCUAUGCAUUCAUAGGGCAUGGGCUCCAACAGUUCGGGUUCCUUUCCAUUGGUCCUCACGAAGUGUGCUUCUCUGGGUGGAGCAGACUGGCGCUUCAGCUGAACCCAAGUCCCUUCCUCUUUGGCUUCCUUAUAUUUCUGAUCAUCUUCCUUCACACAUUUCAGGAAGCUAUCUUGGCUCUUAGAGUGCUUAAUAUGCUUGAUAGGCACAUUAAUUCUUUUGGCAAGAAUCUUGCCCUUAACUUGUUUGUGUACAAUGAUGCCAACAGCAUGCUGGGUAACAUUGUCGACUCUCCCAGGUUUGCUAUGGUAACAUUUGUGGGGCAUUCCUUUUUGAACAGUACCCAUUCCCUUGAUAUCUACAAUAUCACCCUUCUUGUAGAUUUGCAUGUAUGUGGCCAAAGGAACAGCUCCAUGUUUUCUAAAAGGCCUGGGGAACAUGUAGUGGGUGCCCCUCCUCUUUCCCUUUGUGUUGUUCAUUUUGGCGAAUUACUGGAAGAUAGCGGUUCC